UACCCACUAGAGCAGCUACACAGCCCGCGGCUUGGAAUGACACCAAUGUUCUUUCCUCCAAUUGCCAAAGUAACAGUGACAAAGGGGCUGUACUUUUUUCCGUCUUGGUCUUGCCUACUCAGUGGUGUUUGGAUAAUCAUACUAAUUGGAUUGGGUAUAAAUAAUACCCCUUGAUUUCCUUGCUUUCAUAAGAAAGUGGUUUAGAGUAGAGAGAAGCAGUGCCUCUUACGGCAGAAGUAGUUUGGGAUAUGGCCAUUCCCCAGCAAGGAUGCAGCUGGGCAUAGACCCAGGGCCUGGCUUUGGUGGAGGAGAGGACCUGGAGUUGGGCCUACAAAACAUCCAGUCAGCUGCAGAAGAGGAAGAAGAAAGCAGAGUGAGACUCAACAAUGUCCAUUGCAUUUCCCAUCAGCCUAGGAGGAAGAACUUCCAUGCAAUUUUGUCCCUUCUGCACUAUGGCAAGUCUGACAGGUACCUCCCAGGUCACUGGGCAAGUCCUUGGCGUUCCUCCACCCUCCUCCCUCCUCCCUCCGGUGGGCACAUGGUAUUACUUUCGCUGUGAUUAAGGCUUGGAAGCAGGUGUAUUUUGGGUCGAAUUUAAAAAACCCUAAAGAAUUUCCAUGGUGACACUGGUGACAAUCAUAUACCAAGCUCAUAAAAGCCAUUUUGGUUUUUAUUUGUAUCACACACAAAUUGUACAUUUAUAUUUUUAGCUCCAGACUUUAUUUGCUCCGUGUCCAGAGAGAGAGCUGGAAGGGACGGGGAUGAUAGACUGCUUCACCUACUCAAGAACUUCCAAAAUCUCUCACUAGAUAAAAAGUGAAUGAAGGAUCCUUGACAGGUUCAAAUCAACUAUUUGGGAUUUCUCCACUGGAGCAAAUGAAUUUGCAGUUUCAUAACUUUCUUAGAAUUCCCCCCUGUUACUCUAUACUGUGAUCCUUUCAACUACGAGCUUAGUCCUGGUAUCUGUCAUGAGUUUUAAAUCUGACAGUGGCUUUUAAUUAAACACUUGUUUAUCAUUCAGUUAAUGGGCUAAGACUAAUGAUGAAGGGAAAAACAGGCUUUCAGUGAUUUUCUCACCUAUCAUAUGAUACUUGAGAAAAAUAAUAAAGUGAUUUACUCAAGGGUGAGUUAGUAUAGA
Molecule: long non-coding RNA, 1138 nt
Filed under: Felis catus (domestic cat)
Lineage: Eukaryota; Metazoa; Chordata; Mammalia; Carnivora; Felidae
Description: lncRNA (ENSFCAG00000044447.2)
Source: RNAcentral